GAUGAACGCUGGCGGCGUGCCUAAUACAUGCAAGUCGAGCGAACAGACGAGGAGCUUGCUCCUCUGACGUUAGCGGCGGACGGGUGAGUAACACGUGGAUAACCUACCUAUAAGACUGGGAUAACUUCGGGAAACCGGAGCUAAUACCGGAUAAUAUAUUGAACCGCAUGGUUCAAUAGUGAAAGACGGUUUUGCUGUCACUUAUAGAUGGAUCCGCGCCGCAUUAGCUAGUUGGUAAGGUAACGGCAUACCAAGGCAACGAUGCGUAGCCGAGCUGAGAGGGUGAUCGGCCACACUGGACCGGAAACGCGGUCCAGACCCCUACGGGAGGCGGCAGUAGGGAAUCGUCCGCAAUGGGCGAAAGCCUGACGGAGCAGCGCCGCGUGAGUGAUGAAGGGCUUCGGUUCGUAAUACUCUGUUAUGAGGGAAGAACAAAUGUGUAAGUAACUAUGCACGUCUUGACGGUACCUAACCAGAAAGCCACGGCUAACUACGUG
RNAcentral lists this ribosomal RNA (497 nucleotides) under uncultured bacterium. RNAcentral's name for it is "partial 16S ribosomal RNA". It matches the Rfam family "Bacterial small subunit ribosomal RNA", at positions 28 to 507 of the family's 1533-position model. The record is from RNAcentral.